Molecule: ribosomal RNA, 1155 nt
Filed under: uncultured archaeon
Lineage: Archaea
Description: bacterial SSU rRNA
Rfam family: Archaeal small subunit ribosomal RNA
Source: RNAcentral
ACGGGGGCGCAGCAGGCGCGAAAACUUUACAAUGCGGGAAACCGUGAUAAGGGGACACCGAGUGCCAGCAUCAUAUGCUGGCUGUCCAGAUGUGUAAAAUACAUCUGUUAGCAAGGGCCGGGCAAGACCGGUGCCAGCCGCCGCGGUAACACCGGCGGCCCGAGUGGUGAUCGUGAUUAUUGGGUCUAAAGGGUCCGUAGCCGGUUUGGUCAGUCCUCCGGGAAAUCUGAUGGCUCAACCAUUAGGCUUUCGGGGGAUACUGCCAGGCUUGGAACCGGGAGAGGUAAGAGGUACUACAGGGGGUAGGAGUGAAAUCUUGUAAAUCCCUGUGAGACCACCUGUGGCGAAGGCGUCUUACCAGAACGGGGUUCGACGGUGAGGGGACCGGAAAGGCUGGGGGGCACGAAACCGGGAAUUAGAUACCCGGGUAGUCCCAGCCGUAAACGAUGCUCGCUAGGUGUCAGGCAUGGCGCGACCGCGUCUGGUGCCGCAGGAAGCCGUGAAGCGAGCCACCUGGGAAGUACGGCCGCAAGGCUGAAACUUAAAGGAAUUGGCGGGGUGAGCACAACAACGGGUGGAGCCUGCGGUUUAAUUGGACUCAACGCCGGACAACUCACCGGGGACGACAGCAAUAUGUAGGCCAGGCUGAAGACCUUGCCUGAAUCGCUGAGAGGAGGUGCAUGGCCGUUCGCCAGUUCGUACUGUGAAGCAUCCUGUAAGUCAGGCAACGAGCGAGACCCGUGCCCACUGUUACCAGCAUGUCCUCCGGGACGAUGGGUACUCUGUGGGGACCGCCGAUGUUAAAUCGGAGGAAGGUGCGGGCCACGGUAGGUCAGUAUGCCCCGAAUUUCCCGGGCUACACGCGGGCUACAAUGAAUGGGACAAUGGGUCCCUACCCUGAAAAGGGCUGGUAAUCUCCCAAACCCAUCCGUAGUUCGGAUCGAGGGCUGUAACUCGCCCUCGUGAAGCUGGAAUCCGUAGUAAUCGCGUUUCAAUAUAGCGCGGUGAAUACGUCCCUGCUCCUUGCACACACCGCCCGUCAAACCACCCGAGUGAGGUAUGGGUGAGGGCACGAACUCUGUGUCGUGUUCGAACCUGUGCUUUGCAAGGGGGGUUAAGUCGUAACAAGGUAGCCGUAAAUCGAUUCCCGCGGCC